MicroRNA precursor from Oryza rufipogon (brownbeard rice), 275 nucleotides. It matches the Rfam family "MIR821 microRNA precursor family". NCBI's taxonomy places the organism in Eukaryota, Viridiplantae, Streptophyta, Magnoliopsida, Poales, Poaceae. The record is from Rfam.
GAUUUCAACUGAAAAAGUCAUCGACAACAAAAUUGUAUAACUCAUCAAGAUCUAUAACUUUUAUUUUGGUCAUUUCUACAUCCGACAAAGUGAUAGUAACAUUGUUCAUAAAAUUUACAUCUCUAUCAUUUGUUUUUAUAAACUAGAAGAGAGAGAUGUAAAUUUUAUGAACAAUGUUAUUAUCACUUUGUCGGAUGAAGAAAUGACUAAAAUAAAAGUUGUAUGUCUUGAUGAGUUCUACAACUUUUAUGUUCAUGACUUUUUCAGCUGAAUUU